AUUAGGUGAAGUCAAUGAUCCCAUGCUGCCGAGAAAAGCCUCUAGCGAGCUUCGAGCGGCCCGUACCCCAAACCGACACAGGUGGUCAGGUAGAGAAUACCGAGGCGAUCGGGCGAACUAUGGUUAAGGAACUCGGCAAAUUACCCCCGUAACUUCGGGAGAAGGGGGGCCACAGACUGUCAAACUCCAUGCGGGUGGCAGCGGUAGGUGGCCGCAGAGACCAGGGGGAAGCGACUGUUUACUAAAAACACAGGUCCGUGCGAAGUCGUAAGACGAUGUAUACGGACUGACGCCUGCCCGGUGCUGGAACGUUAAGGGGACCGGUUAGUCCGCAAGGGCGAGGCUGAGAACUUAAGCGCCAGUAAACGGCGGUGGUAACUAUAACCAUCCUAAGGUAGCGAAAUUCCUUGUCGGGUAAGUUCCGACCUGCACGAAUGGCGUAACGACUUCCCUACUGUCUCAACCAUAGGCCCGGCGAAAUUGCACUACGAGUAAAGAUGCUCGUUACGCGCGGAAGGACGGAAAGACCCCGGGACCUUCACUAUAGCUUGACAUUGGUACUCGAAUUGAAUUGUGUAGGAUAGGUGGGAGACUAUGAAGCUCGGACGCCAGUUCGGGUGGAGUCAAACUUGAAAUACCACUCUGUUGAAUUUGGGUAUCUAACUUCGGACCGUGAUCCGGUUCAGGGACAGUGUCUGGUGGGUAGUUUAACUGGGGCGGUUGCCUCCUAAAAUGUAACGGAGGCGCCCAAAGGUUCCCUCAGCCUGGUUGGCAAUCAGGUGUUGAGUGCAAGUGCACAAGGGAGCUUGACUGUGAGACUGACAGGUCGAGCAGGGACGAAAGUCGGGACUAGUGAUCCGGCACCUGCGAGUGGAAGCGGUGUCGCUCAACGGAUAAAAGGUACCCCGGGGAUAACAGGCUGAUCUUCCCCAAGAGUCCAUAUCGACGGGAUGGUUUGGCACCUCGAUGUCGGCUCGUCGCAUCCUGGGGCUGGAGUAGGUCCCAAGGGUUGGGCUGUUCGCCCAUUAAAGCGGCACGCGAGCUGGGUUUAGAACGUCGUGAGACAGUUCGGUCCCUAUCCUCCGCGCGCGCAGGAGACUUGAGAAGGGCUGUCCCUAGUACGAGAGGACCGGGACGGACGAACCUCUGGUGUGCCAGUUGUCAUGCAAAUGGCACGGCUGGUUAGCUACGUUCGGAAGGGAUAACCGCUGAAAGCAUCUAAGCGGGAAGCCUGCUUCAAGAUGAGGUCUCCCACCCCUUGAGGGUUAAGGCCCCCAGCUAGACCACUGGGUUGAUAGGCCAGAAGUGUAAGCCUGGUAACAGGUUCAGCCGACUGGUACUAAUAGGCCGAGGACUUGACU
RNAcentral lists this ribosomal RNA (1361 nucleotides) under metagenome. RNAcentral describes it as "bacterial LSU rRNA". It matches the Rfam family "Bacterial large subunit ribosomal RNA", at positions 1580 to 2925 of the family's 2925-position model. The record is from RNAcentral.